RNAcentral lists this transfer RNA (74 nucleotides) under Danio rerio (zebrafish). RNAcentral describes it as "tRNA-Ile (GAT) (tRNA-Ile-GAT-6-1)". It matches the Rfam family "tRNA". From Rfam's summary of the family: Transfer RNA (tRNA) molecules are approximately 80 nucleotides in length. Their secondary structure includes four short double-helical elements and three loops (D, anti-codon, and T loops). Lineage: Eukaryota; Metazoa; Chordata; Actinopteri; Cypriniformes; Danionidae. The record is from Rfam by way of RNAcentral.
GUCUCUGUGGCGCAAUUGGUUAGCGCGUUCGGCUGAUAACUGAAGGGUUAGUGGUUCAAGCCCACCAAGGGACG